UAUAGAUUGAAAUAAACAAUUAAUUUCCCCAUAGGCGACAAUGGUAGCCUUUUUCGAGAUACAGACUUUAGAAAGUUGAUUUUCUUAACGAAACCUUGCUAGAAUCAAAGAAAAGUUAUUAUGACAGUAUUUUUUGGUCCAAAAAAUAUAGGUUCGCGUUGCUUUUCUUAGCGUAUUUUGUACUUAUCUCCCAUGCCUAUCAAUUUUGCCCUUAAAAAUACGUGUCUUGUCCUAGUGUUGAAAAGUCAUCUCAGUGCCUUUAGGGCUACGGAAUAAUUUUUAUUUUGCCUUUUGUAUAAAGCAGAGUGCACGAAGUCUCUAAUAAUAAAAAACAACGGGCGCACAUAUCGACCAAUCAGGAUAAGUCAUACUCUUAAUUCUGAAUACCAUGUUAUGCUCAUAAAAUGGCUGCGCCCAUAAAAUCUAAUGGUGUAUUGUAACCUAUAACAGUAUUCUU
Molecule: long non-coding RNA, 457 nt
Filed under: Mytilus galloprovincialis (Mediterranean mussel)
Lineage: Eukaryota; Metazoa; Mollusca; Bivalvia; Mytilida; Mytilidae
Source: RNAcentral